GAUGAACGCUGGCGGCGUGCCUAAUACAUGCAAGUCGAGCGAACAGACGAGGAGCUUGCUCCUCUGACGUUAGCGGCGGACGGGUGAGUAACACGUGGAUAACCUACCUAUAAGACUGGGAUAACUUCGGGAAACCGGAGCUAAUACCGGAUAAUAUAUUGAACCGCAUGGUUCAAUAGUGAAAGACGGUUUUGCUGUCACUUAUAGAUGGAUCCGCGCCGCAUUAGCUAGUUGGUAAGGUAACGGCUUACCAAGGCAACGAUGCGUAGCCGACCUGAGAGGGUGAUCGGCCACACUGGAACUGAGACACGGUCCAGACUCCUACGGGAGGCAGCAGGAGGGAAUCUUCCGCAAUGGGCGAAAGCCUGACGGAGCAACGCCGCGUGAGUGAUGAAGGGCUUCGGAUCGUAAAACUCUGUUAUUAGGGAAGAACAAAUGUGUAAGUAACGAUGCACGUCUUGACGGUACCUAAUAGAAAGCCACGGCUAACUACGUG
RNAcentral lists this ribosomal RNA (496 nucleotides) under uncultured bacterium. RNAcentral describes it as "partial 16S ribosomal RNA". It matches the Rfam family "Bacterial small subunit ribosomal RNA", at positions 28 to 507 of the family's 1533-position model. The record is from RNAcentral.